Molecule: microRNA precursor, 86 nt
Organism: Aotus nancymaae (Ma's night monkey)
Lineage: Eukaryota; Metazoa; Chordata; Mammalia; Primates; Aotidae
Gene: MIR144
Product: microRNA 144
Source: Ensembl
UGGGGCCCUGGCUGGGAUAUCAUCAUAUACUGUAAGUUUGCGAUGAGACACUACAGUAUAGAUGAUGUACUAGUCCGGGCACCCCC